Molecule: ribosomal RNA, 523 nt
Filed under: uncultured bacterium
Lineage: Bacteria
Description: bacterial SSU rRNA
Rfam family: Bacterial small subunit ribosomal RNA
Source: RNAcentral
AGAGUUUGAUCAUGGCUCAGAUUGAACGCUGGCGGCAUGCCUUACACAUGCAAGUCGAACGGCAGCAUAGGAGCUUGCUCCUGAUGGCGAGUGGCGAACGGGUGAGUAAUAUAUCGGAACGUGCCCUAGAGUGGGGGAUAACUAGUCGAAAGACUAGCUAAUACCGCAUACGAUCUACGGAUGAAAGUGGGGGAUCGCAAGACCUCAUACUCCUGGAGCGGCCGAUAUCUGAUUAGCUAGUUGGUGGGGUAAAAGCCUACCAAGGCAACGAUCAGUAGCUGGUCUGAGAGGACGACCAGCCACACUGGGACUGAGACACGGCCUAGACUCCUACGGGAGGCAGCAGUGGGGAAUUUUGGACAAUGGGGGCAACCCUGAUCCAGCAAUGCCGCGUGAGUGAAGAAGGCCUUCGGGUUGUAAAGCUCUUUUGUCAGGGAAGAAACGGUAGUAGCGAAUAACUAUUACUAAUGACGGUACCUGAAGAAUAAGCACCGGCUAACUACGUGCCAGCAGCCGCGGUAAU